GUGUGGUAGUGCAUGCCUUUAAUACCAGCACUCAGAAGACAGAGGCUGGCAGAUCUCUGACUUUUAGGCCAGCCUGGUCUAUAGAGAAAGUUCAAGGAUAGCCAGGCUUAGGCAGUGAAGAUAACCACCAAAAACAGAAAUCUGGUAAAGAUUUAUAAAUGUUGCUGUGAUCCUGGUGUCUCUUCACAGCAAUUGAAUCCUUAGGACAGUAAGCAUUGGAGAACUUGAAGAAGAUACAUGACAGCCUUCACCCUCAAAGGUUCAGAUUACAUCAGUGGGACCAGUCUGGGGCUAAGAAGUCUGCAUUUUGUUCAGGGGAACAUUUCUUUAAAAUGAACUUUAUCCCCUUUAAAAGAAAUCAGUUGUCUUAAUAAUUUCUUUUCAGGAAAGAAUAAAGAAAUGCUUCUUCUGUUUAUCACCUUAGACUUUAAGAGCACCAGGUGUAUUGACCUCAUAGUAUGUGCUAGAAUUUCUGUUCUCAACACAGAGGAUGCUUGCGUUGUCUUGGGGUUGAAUGUCUAUUGUUCUUGGGGUUGAAUCUAAGGGGAUUAGAGUCCACAACAGGAAGGACACAAUUCAGAAGGUAUGCACAUACACCCAGAGGUGAGUUAGUUACUGUGUUUCAAGCAACAAGAAUGUGUCCAAUCUCUUGUAGUGAUAGAAUGGUCCCUGUCAUCAAAUAGUCUAUAUUUUACUGGGUGAUAGGCAUAUAAAUAUGUGAAUGCAGUAAAAUAUUAUUUGUGUCAUUAUAAGGACAUAUGUAGAAUAUGGGUGGAAACUGUAGUGUCAGCUCUCACUGGGUAGAGAAAACAGUAGGGAAGCUACACAAGAAGGUUGAUGUUUAAUCUGAAAACUCUUCCAGGUGUGUGUUAUUUGCAGGACUAAUAAGAGGGAGAAGAAAUUCCAAGCAGACUGAAAUGGCAGUUGAGCAGAGAAGACCUCCAGAUAAGAUUCCUCGGAUUAGAGUCUUGAAGUUUGGUUGUUAAAGUGCCUGUCCCACAAACAUACAACCUGAGCAAAGGUUCCCAGUACCCAGUAUUUCCUCUCCUUGCCUACCGAGUCUUCCUACAGCAAUCAAGGCCUAAUCUUCUCUGAGGUGAUCCUGUAGCCCAUAGUGGUAGAAAAAUCAGGGGCAACAACAUGAUGAAGUACAGCAUCAUGGUGGAGCUAUUCCCUGGCCUCUGGUUAAAGCCUGAAACCUCUCUUAUUCUUCAUAUAUGCUUGGUUCUGUCUGUCAUCACAACAUUCACAUGGGUGGACACCAUGGUCAACACAUUCAAGCUCUGCCUACAUGCCAUAGGUAGUUGCUCUGGAUAUAGUGAAAAUGUAAGAGCCCUUGAAGCAAUAUGAAGCUACUUGUGAAGGGAGAUCAGGGGACCCACAUACUGACAGGUGGUCAAGAAAAGGGAAUGAAUAAAGGGUGGGUAAUACCCUGUUGUCUUUGUCCAUAAGGAAAGAUGAUAACUAUUAUAUAUUAUUAUGUAAUAAUAUAGAAACUAUUAUAUAUAAUAGCUAAUAUAUAUAUUACUAAGUAGAUCUCAAACUGGAGGCUCUUGUCUAGGCAAUUUGUGCAUAUCAGGAAUUCUUGGUUUAUUUUUUUUAAUUUAAAAUGUUUUAAAUUUAAACAUAUUUUGAUCAUAUU
Non-coding RNA from Peromyscus maniculatus bairdii (prairie deer mouse), 1642 nucleotides. NCBI's taxonomy places the organism in Eukaryota, Metazoa, Chordata, Mammalia, Rodentia, Cricetidae. The record is from RefSeq and is a predicted model, not a curated record.